UGCUCAGGACGAACGCUGGCGGCGUGCCUAAUACAUGCAAGUCGAACGAACUCUGGUAUUGAUUGGUGCUUGCAUCAUGAUUUACAUUUGAGUGAGUGGCGAACUGGUGAGUAACACGUGGGAAACCUGCCCAGAAGCGGGGGAUAACACCUGGAAACAGAUGCUAAUACCGCAUAACAACUUGGACCGCAUGGUCCGAGUUUGAAAGAUGGCUUCGGCUAUCACUUUUGGAUGGUCCCGCGGCGUAUUAGCUAGAUGGUGGGGUAACGGCUCACCAUGGCAAUGAUACGUAGCCGACCUGAGAGGGUAAUCGGCCACAUUGGGACUGAGACACGGCCCAAACUCCUACGGGAGGCAGCAGUAGGGAAUCUUCCACAAUGGACGAAAGUCUGAUGGAGCAACGCCGCGUGAGUGAAGAAGGGUUUCGGCUCGUAAAACUCUGUUGUUAAAGAAGAACAUAUCUGAGAGUAACUGUUCAGGUAUUGACGGUAUUUAACCAGAAAGCCACGGCUAACUACGUGCCAGCAGCCGCGGUAAUACGUAGGUGGCAAGCGUUGUCCGGAUUUAUUGGGCGUAAAGCGAGCGCAGGCGGUUUUUUAAGUCUGAUGUGAAAGCCUUCGGCUCAACCGAAGAAGUGCAUCGGAAACUGGGAAACUUGAGUGCAGAAGAGGACAGUGGAACUCCAUGUGUAGCGGUGAAAUGCGUAGAUAUAUGGAAGAACACCAGUGGCGAAGGCGGCUGUCUGGUCUGUAACUGACGCUGAGGCUCGAAAGUAUGGGUAGCAAACAGGAUUAGAUACCCUGGUAGUCCAUACCGUAAACGAUGAAUGCUAAGUGUUGGAGGGUUUCCGCCCUUCAGUGCUGCAGCUAACGCAUUAAGCAUUCCGCCUGGGGAGUACGGCCGCAAGGCUGAAACUCAAAGGAAUUGACGGGGGCCCGCACAAGCGGUGGAGCAUGUGGUUUAAUUCGAAGCUACGCGAAGAACCUUACCAGGUCUUGACAUACUAUGCAAAUCUAAGAGAUUAGACGUUCCCUUCGGGGACAUGGAUACAGGUGGUGCAUGGUUGUCGUCAGCUCGUGUCGUGAGAUGUUGGGUUAAGUCCCGCAACGAGCGCAACCCUUAUUAUCAGUUGCCAGCAUUAAGUUGGGCACUCUGGUGAGACUGCCGGUGACAAACCGGAGGAAGGUGGGGAUGACGUCAAAUCAUCAUGCCCCUUAUGACCUGGGCUACACACGUGCUACAAUGGAUGGUACAACGAGUUGCGAACUCGCGAGAGUAAGCUAAUCUCUUAAAGCCAUUCUCAGUUCGGAUUGUAGGCUGCAACUCGCCUACAUGAAGUCGGAAUCGCUAGUAAUCGCGGAUCAGCAUGCCGCGGUGAAUACGUUCCCGGGCCUUGUACACACCGCCCGUCACACCAUGAGAGUUUGUAACACCCAAAGUCGGUGGGGUAACCUUUUAGGACCAGCCGCCUAAGUGGGACAGAUGAUUAG
Molecule: ribosomal RNA, 1490 nt
Filed under: Lactiplantibacillus pentosus
Lineage: Bacteria; Bacillati; Bacillota; Bacilli; Lactobacillales; Lactobacillaceae
Description: bacterial SSU rRNA
Rfam family: Bacterial small subunit ribosomal RNA
Source: RNAcentral